UACGGAGGGGGCUAGCGUUGUUCGGAAUUACUGGGCGUAAAGGGCUCGUAGGCGGCCAACUAAGUCGGACGUGAAAUCCCUCGGCUUAACUGGGGAACUGCGUCCGAUACUGGAUGGCUUGGAUUUGGGAGAGGGAUGCGGAAUUCCAGGUGUAGCGGUGAAAUGCGUAGAUAUCUGGAGGAACACCGGUGGCGAAGGCGGCAUCCUGGACCGGCAUUGACGCUGAGGCGCGAAAGCCAGGGGAGCAAACGGG
This 253-nucleotide ribosomal RNA is filed under the name uncultured bacterium. RNAcentral's name for it is "partial 16S ribosomal RNA". It matches the Rfam family "Bacterial small subunit ribosomal RNA", at positions 524 to 776 of the family's 1533-position model. The record is from RNAcentral.